This 300-nucleotide ribosomal RNA is filed under the name Triticum aestivum (bread wheat). Its description in RNAcentral is "partial small subunit ribosomal RNA". The record is from RNAcentral. Lineage: Eukaryota; Viridiplantae; Streptophyta; Magnoliopsida; Poales; Poaceae.
AUGUAUAAACUUCUGGAAAACAACAUUGCAGGGUGUAACUACUGUUGAAUCUGGAACAACAAGAUACCCCUAAAAGUCAAGAUAUUCCUCUCGCAGCUGUUCGAGGAUGCUGUCUUAACUAGAGACGUCAUGAGCAGGCAUAAUUGGCAUGGGAAUUCUAAAUGUUCCUUUUGCAAUGAACACGAAACUUCCCAACACCUGUUUUUCCUCUGUCCGAUGGCCAGGGUGGUCUGGAGGACUGUCGGAGCAGUCCUGGGUACCGAACUAUGCCCUAAUAAUUUGUGGCAGUACUACUCUUAG